Salmo salar (Atlantic salmon) is the source of this 1207-nucleotide long non-coding RNA. RefSeq lists it as uncharacterized. NCBI's taxonomy places the organism in Eukaryota, Metazoa, Chordata, Actinopteri, Salmoniformes, Salmonidae. The record is from RefSeq and is a predicted model, not a curated record.
UGUUGCUAGGUCUGUUGCUUGAACUUGCAACAUUCUGACCGGACUACGUAAUGAGUUAAAGCGUCCGCUGCUAUGCUGGUUGCUUGGCUCUAUUUGACCUCGUAGCAGUCACGAAGGAAGGAGGAUGCUGGCAGUUCUCAUUCUAUUUCACUGCAUAAACGCUCGUCAGUCUGAGCAAAAUUAUUAUUGCUCUCCGAGGACGAUGUUUUUGACGGCGACAACCUGCUGACUACCUGCUGCUUCAGAGGACCGAAAAGACUGUCAAGAGAACAUUUUCUAUACCAUGCGAAGUACUAUGAAGACACCACUGAUCUCGACAAGACGAGCAACAUUCAGAGAAAUUCACAUUCAGGAUCACUGAAACCCCUCCUGAUGUGGUGGAAGUUGUCGAACCAGAUCAGAACGCUUUUGAGUACCAGGCACGGACUGAGAAGGAUGUGGAGGUUUUUGACCAGGUGAGACUAAACAUGGACAAGACGCAGGACAAACAGGAGAGCUACCGAAGCAGAAUCAAGAAGGGGACCAAGUGCUACGACAUCUGGGUGAAUUACUUGGUUUGGAAGAAGGACGAAAGGAAGGCGAGUCCUGGGAAACCUUGCUGCUCCUAGCUAGGGUCACCAUCUGUUAAAGGUUACCUCAGCGGAAGCCAACAAUCUUCUACAGUUGGAGCAGUUGGACGGUCGACCAGUGAAAGCACUGACACACUUCACUUCAGUGAAGCCCAAUAAACAAAGACCAUCAACUGUUCGAGUCCCCCAGGAGGUAUCCCGUCCACCAAAACCAGUGAGUUCGGAUCAUUCUGAUUCUCUGUGGUCUGAGUCGGAGGGGGACCAGCUUGAGGUGGGCUAUACCUUCCAAAAGUGUUGAAGUACAUAUCUCCCAUUUAUAACACUGCACUAAUUCAACAAAUGUUCUUACAGUAAAGUGUAACCUGUGAGAUACACAGAUUAACUAAAAACAUGAGCACUGCAAACACUCAGAACAAAGAGAGCAGCAGUGCCUGGACUUUGCAGUCUGCCUCUUCAAGUCCUCCUUAUGUGACUGGCUGCCUGUUGAGAACAAGUGACGGGCAGAACCUCCCACCCACACAGCAACCCCUUCCUCUAUAUUCCACACACCAGAAUUCAGUAUUUUAUUCUAUGAUUGCCAUGUGAGUGCACCAAAAAAUCUGUGAAAAUAAAUUAAUGACACAACUGUACCAAAAACU